CCUACGGGUGGCAGCAGUGGGGAAUAUUGGACAAUGGGCGAAAGCCUGAUCCAGCCAUGCCGCGUGUGUGAAGAAGGCCUUCGGGUUGUAAAGCACUUUCAGUGGGGAAGAAAGCCUUGGGGCUAAUACCCUCGAGGAAGGACAUCACCCACAGAAGAAGCACCGGCUAACUCCGUGCCAGCAGCCGCGGUAAUACGGAGGGUGCGAGCGUUAAUCGGAAUUACUGGGCGUAAAGCGCGCGUAGGCGGUCUGAUAAGCCGGUUGUGAAAGCCCCGGGCUCAACCUGGGAACGGCAUCCGGAACUGUCAGGCUAGAGUGCAGGAGAGGAAGGUAGAAUUCCCGGUGUAGCGGUGAAAUGCGUAGAGAUCUGGAGGAAUACCAGUGGCGAAGGCGGCCUUCUGGACUGACACUGACGCUGAGGUGCGAAAGCGUGGGUAGCAAACAGGAUUAGAUACCCCAGUAGUC
Molecule: ribosomal RNA, 465 nt
Filed under: Vreelandella stevensii
Lineage: Bacteria; Pseudomonadati; Pseudomonadota; Gammaproteobacteria; Oceanospirillales; Halomonadaceae
Description: partial 16S ribosomal RNA
Rfam family: Bacterial small subunit ribosomal RNA
Source: RNAcentral